Molecule: ribosomal RNA, 497 nt
Filed under: uncultured bacterium
Lineage: Bacteria
Description: partial 16S ribosomal RNA
Rfam family: Bacterial small subunit ribosomal RNA
Source: RNAcentral
GAUGAACGCUGGCGGCGUGCCUAAUACAUGCAAGUCGAGCGAACAGACGCGGCUCUUGCUCCUCUGACGUUGGCGACGGGCGGGUGAGUAACACGUGGAUAACCUACCUCUAAGACUUGGAUAACUUCGGGAAACCGUAGUUAAUACCAGAUAAUAUCUUGAACCGCAUGGUUCAAUAGUGAAGGACGGUUUUGCUGUCACUUCUCGACGUAUCCGCGCCGCAUUAGGUAGUUGGUAAGGUAACGGCUUACCAGGGAGACGAUGCGAAGCAGACCUGAGAGGGUGAUCGGCCACAGUGGAACUGAGGCACGGUCGAGACUCCUACGGGGGGCAGCAGUAGGGAAGCGGCCGCAAUGGGGGAAAGCCUGAAAGAGCAGCGCGGCGGGAGUGACGAAGGUCUUCGGAUCGUAAAGCUCUGUUAGUUGGGAAGAACAAAUGUGUAAGUAACUGUGCACGUCGUGACGGUACCUGAUCAGAAAGCCACGGCUAACUACGUG